RNAcentral lists this ribosomal RNA (468 nucleotides) under uncultured bacterium. RNAcentral describes it as "partial 16S ribosomal RNA". It matches the Rfam family "Bacterial small subunit ribosomal RNA", at positions 28 to 507 of the family's 1533-position model. The record is from RNAcentral.
GACGAACGCUGGCGGCGUGCUUAACACAUGCAAGUCGAACGGAAAGGCCCUGCUUUUGUGGGGUGCUCGAGUGGCGAACGGGUGAGUAACACGUGAGUAACCUGCCCUUGACUUUGGGAUAACUUCAGGAAACUGGGGCUAAUACCGGAUAGGAGCUCCUGCUGCAUGGUGGGGGUUGGAAAGUUUCGGCGGUUGGGGAUGGACUCGCGGCUUAUCAGCUUGUUGGUGGGGUAGUGGCUUACCAAGGCUUUGACGGGUAGCCGGCCUGAGAGGGUGACCGGCCACAUUGGGACUGAGAUACGGCCCAGACUACUACGGGAGGAAGCAGUGGGGAAUAUUGCACAAUGGGCGGAAGCCUGAUGCAGCAACGCCGCGUGCGGGAUGACGGCCUUCGGGUUGUAAACCGCUUUCGCCUGUGACGAAGCGUGAGUGACGGUAAUGGGUAAAGAAGCACCGGCUAACUACGUG